UUCUAGUGUCAACAUUUGUGAUUUGUUUACUGGUUGCUACAUUUGUGUACUCAACAUAGCCUGUUGAUUAUAUGUAUGAUGCAGGAAAGUACUUUUGUGUUCAUUACACAUCAUUCAAUAUGUUUUAAAUGAUUUCUAAUUGUACCCUUUAUACUCUGGCAAUUAUAUGAUCUGGUAAUCAGUAACUGAAUGUGUGGCCUAUAUAUAUGGAGGAGGUCCUACCAAAUUGAUAUCUAUCUUUUUUGACACAUCUAAAAGACUUUCCAAUUUAAUCAUGAUUUGGCAGAAACCAGGAUUAUUAUCUAUCAUACUUCUAUGGACAAAGAAGAGUUGUCACCAUAAAUGAUCUGUCAGAGAGAAAGGAUGUCAUCGACUACUCAUGCACAGGAGGCUGCUGAGGGGAGGACAACUCAUAAUAAUGGCCGGUUCAGAGUGAAUGGAAUGGCAUCAAACAUAUGGAAACCAUGUGUUAGAUGAAUUCGAUACCAUUCCACCUAUCCCGCUCCAGCCAAUACCACAAGCCUGUCUUCCUCAAUUAAGGUGCCAACAACCUCCUGUGUACUCAUGGUCAUACUCAUUCACUCGUGCUGUCCUGCGUCAUCCACAACCAUCAUCCUAGUCUGACAGGGAACACCCUUGAGGAUUAAUUAGAUCUAGGUGUUGAAGGUUAUGAUGGACACAGAGACUUAUAUAGAGUUAGACACAGAGGAGGGACUCUUGAACCUUCAGUCCAGUUUCACUCAAAGCUCAGGAGCAGUAGAGCUACUUACCUGCUGCUGACUAGAGGGGCUCCAGUCCUCCCUGUCAGGCCAGCCUCAUACUGCAGAGACAGACAGCAUGGUUCACCCCAUCAUGGUUGGCAUUGUCACUGCCAACACCUCCCUAGCUAUCAUCCUCUGGAACUUCCUAUUGUCUCAAGUUUUCUGCAGGAAGAUCAAGGAUGCACCCAACCCUGAGGAGGUCGUCCCAGUCUGAACUGGAUCCUAGGCCCAGACCCAGAUGAAGAGGAAGGUGCGUGUGAGCCUACAGGAGUGGAGAAGGAGGAGAGGUGGAAGACUGCCGUCGAGGCGAAGAGGUGGAUGACCAUGAAAAUAGAAGAGGAGAGGAAGGGGGUCCUUCCAUUAGUCAAGUCUCCCAGCAUGUAAAAAAACAAAGACUCAACUUUCCUCUCCAGAAAACAGACUCACAUCUCUAUUAGGCUAAAUGUUAUUCUGACCCCAAUUGACUAAGUUCCCUUGAUAGCAAUACACCGUCCAGUCUAUUCUGCUCUCCGCUCUGUCCUCAAUUCCUCCCAGGUUGGCUCCCAAGCAACCAAAUCCCAUUUCUGUUACUUCUAAACCAAUCCUGUUUUGAUACAAAUUAAGUGAAACUGCAACCCAAUCUAUUUACACAAUGUAAUUUUAGCAUCAGAGGCAUAGUAUAAACUAAGUUACUGUAUAUACAAACAAUGUUACUGUUUUAUCAUUUUCUGUACUGUAUAAGAUAACAAAUGUAGACAAUUUGAACAAUUAAAUGGUGCAGAAACAUUCA
Long non-coding RNA from Salmo salar (Atlantic salmon), 1530 nucleotides. RefSeq lists it as uncharacterized. The record is from RefSeq and is a predicted model, not a curated record. NCBI's taxonomy places the organism in Eukaryota, Metazoa, Chordata, Actinopteri, Salmoniformes, Salmonidae.